RNAcentral lists this ribosomal RNA (616 nucleotides) under uncultured Magnetobacterium sp. RNAcentral's name for it is "bacterial SSU rRNA". It matches the Rfam family "Bacterial small subunit ribosomal RNA", at positions 28 to 653 of the family's 1533-position model. The record is from RNAcentral. Lineage: Bacteria; Pseudomonadati; Nitrospirota; Thermodesulfovibrionia; Thermodesulfovibrionales; Magnetobacteriaceae (SeqCode).
AACGAACGCUGGCGGCGUGCUUAACACAUGCAAGUCGAACGGGUUCAUAAUGAGUAGCAAUACUUGAUAUGAAUUAGUGGCGGACGGGUGAGUAACACGUAGGUAACCUACCCUUGAGCGGGGGACAACCCAGGGAAACUUGGGCUAAUACCCCAUAAGACCACGGGGUGUGAAUCUUGUGGUAAAAGUAGCGAUACGCUCAUGGACGGGCCUGCGGCCUAUCAGGUAGUUGGUGAGGUAACGGCCCACCAAGCCAAAGACGGGUAGCCGGGCUGAGAGGUUGAACGGCCACACUGGAACUGAGACACGGUCCAGACUCCUACGGGAGGCAGCAGUGGGGAAUAUUGCACAAUGGGGGAAACCCUGAUGCAGCGACGCCGCGUGGAGGAUGAAGGUCUUCGGGUUGUAAACUCCUUUUAUUGGGAAAGAUGAUGACGGUACCCAAUGAAUAAGCCACGGCUAACUCUGUGCCAGCAGCCGCGGUAAGACAGAGGUGGCGAGCGUUGUUCGGAAUUACUGGGCUUAAAGGGCGAGUAGGCGGUGGGACAAGUCUGAUGUGGAAUCUUAGGGCUUAACCCUAAAACUGCAUUAGAAACUGUUUUACUUGAGUCAGUGA